This is a long non-coding RNA of Bubalus bubalis (water buffalo), 428 nucleotides long. RefSeq lists it as uncharacterized. NCBI's taxonomy places the organism in Eukaryota, Metazoa, Chordata, Mammalia, Artiodactyla, Bovidae. The transcript has 2 exons. The record is from RefSeq and is a predicted model, not a curated record.
AGAAGCAAGACAGGGGAAUUAUCCCGAGGUCUGGGGUGUGCUAGUGCGCGCGCUGGGGACAGGACGAGUGCAAUGAGGGCCAGGGCGAGGAUCUGGCUUCCGCGCCCGGCCAAGGAACGCCGCCCCAGACGGGAUUUCCCACAGAUCAGCGGAGGUUUGGCAAACGCCAAAUAAACACUGCAGCUCCGGCGCCGGAGCGUUCAGCGCGCUCGGGGAAUCCUUUGGAGUGAUUCGGAGGUUCAGACUCCUUAAGGGCCAACCGAGCUUGCAACCCAAGAGGCGGUUAUCAACUCGAAUUUAGGAAAAUCCCGAGGCGCCGAACAGACGCCAGCAAUUUAGAAAGGCAAGACUCCAGCCUCCAUGACUUUCUCUCAGUUCCAAAUGGCAGAACAGUUGCUAAAGAAAAGAGGAACAGCAAGGAAACCACC